RNAcentral lists this ribosomal RNA (492 nucleotides) under uncultured bacterium. RNAcentral's name for it is "partial 16S ribosomal RNA". It matches the Rfam family "Bacterial small subunit ribosomal RNA", at positions 29 to 507 of the family's 1533-position model. The record is from RNAcentral.
AGUGAACGCUGGCGGUAGGCCUAACACAUGCAAGUCGAACGGCACCACAGUAAGAGCUUGCUCUUACGGGUGGCGAGUGGCGGACGGUUGAGGAAUACAUCGGAAUCUACUUUUUCGUGGGGGAUAACGUAGGGAAACUUACGCUAAUACCGCAUACGACCUACGGGUGAAAGCAGGGGAUCUUCGGACCUUGCGCGAUUGAAUGAGCCGAUGUCGGAUUAGCUAGUUGGCGGGGUAAAGGCCCACCAAGGCGACGAUCCGUAGCUGGUCUGAGAGGAUGAUCAGCCACACUGGAACUGAGACACGGUCCAGACUCCUACGGGAGGCAGCAGUGGGGAAUAUUGGACAAUGGGGGAAAGCCUGAUCCAGCCAUACCGCGUGGGUGAAGAAGGCCUUCGGGUUGUAAAGCCCUUUUGUUGGGAAAGAAAAGCAGCAGGUUAAUACCCCGCUGUUCUGACGGUACCCAAAGAAUAAGCACCGGCUAACUUCGUG